Molecule: long non-coding RNA, 1381 nt
Organism: Stomoxys calcitrans (stable fly)
Lineage: Eukaryota; Metazoa; Arthropoda; Insecta; Diptera; Muscidae
Exons: 2
Source: RefSeq, a predicted model, not a curated record
CUUUUGUGAAUUUAUGAAUAUGGCAACACUGGUGCAUAGCUUGCAUAGAUAAAUUAUAUAUAGAUAAAGAAUUUGAACUUCGCACUAAGACUUGUUGGUGUCGCUUGUGAAUAUAGAAAAAUAAGUAUUAUCUAAAAACAUGCGGCAAGCAGAAUUCUGCUCUCAAUGGAAUGCAGUUUGCGUAGUUUGCAUCUUCAUAAUAUGCAUUUCCUUUCCCAUGAAGGAAACUAUGGCGUAAUGAACGUGUAUAGAGUUUCGUCAGUCAAAGCUGAAAAUUUGAUUUUUUUUAAUUUUUUUCGGGAGAGCUGUUUGCUUUGAAGAAAAAUACCGACACCUAUAAGCUUGACAUUAGCUGUCAAAUUUUGAGAGGAAAAAUAUUUCUGUUAAUUCAAUACUCUUUGAGGUUAGGACGUGCUCCUACAUGGAUAUAUUAUACAUAAAAUAUAAAGAAUUUGAGCUUCGCACAUAUACUGGUUUGUGAAUAUGGAUAAAUGAGAAUUAUCUAAGAACAUGCCGCAAGCAGAAUUCUGCUCCCCCCUGGACGCCCCCAUCUUAGUCGCAGAAUUCCUGGAUCUUGACACUCAAAAGAAUCUAGCAGACGAAAGAUAGAACACAACAAAAAGCUACAACAACAACAAAAUUCUGAAGAUACAAUCCCAUGCUGCAAUGGGAUUGAGUGCGUAUAGCUGGGCAGGUAAAUAAGUGACAUACAGUGGGAUUAGAAAAAAUUAGUGCUAAUUAGUCUGUCAAUUGUGCACGGAUACAGAUAUCUUUAAUGGUAAUAAAGUGUCCGUAGCCGCCACAUGGCCAAAUAGAAAUUUACUUUGGCCUCACAUCAGUGGUCGUAGCAAUUUAUCUAUCCCCAAUAUCCAAAAGCAUUAGAUUGUUAGUCUAAGGUAUCUUUGUCAGCACAACAAGUGUACUUUUAGUGAGAGAAGGGAGAUCGGUCUGUACGACUCUCCCUUGCUCGUGCCCUUUUCAUGUUUUAGUAGCGGGAUCAGAGUGCUCAUCUUCCAAACAUUGGCUAUUACAAUAGUGUUCAGAUAGGCUGAGGACAGUUGUAAGGUAAUCGACUCAAGGCAGAUCCAGAUUCAUCAGCAUCAGUGUAGAGAUUCUGUCUGGAACCAGCGCUUUGCGCGAAUUGGCGCUACGGAAGAUGCACGGUUGUUGUUGUAGCUGUGUGUUGUACACUGAAAGACUCCAUCGGGUCAAUGAAAGACUCCAUUGGGCUAAUGCGGUACGUACAAUCGGCUGCCAUGAGAUUGCACGGUAAUUUGUAAUGGCUGUCCAGCGGCAUGGAGAUCACGGAUAUACAAAUGGCUCCCCUUCUAGUCUUUUCACUCUCGGGUCAAUAAAUUGACGUUUAUUUAAGGAAAAUACC